UAAGUUGGUAGUGAAAGCGUUCGGCUCAACCGAAUAAACAUUACCAAACUACAAAGCUAGAGGAUGAGAGAGGUUAUUGGAAUUCCUAGUGUAGGAGUGAAAUCCGUAGAUAUUAGGAGGAACACCGAUGGCGUAGGCAGAUAACUGGCUCAUUCCUGACACUAAGGCACGAAAGCGUGGGUAGCAAACGGGAUUAGAUACCCCGGUAGUCCACGCCGUAAACGAUGGAUGCUA
RNAcentral lists this ribosomal RNA (234 nucleotides) under uncultured Candidatus Saccharibacteria bacterium. RNAcentral describes it as "partial 16S ribosomal RNA". It matches the Rfam family "Bacterial small subunit ribosomal RNA", at positions 584 to 818 of the family's 1533-position model. Lineage: Bacteria; Candidatus Saccharimonadota. The record is from RNAcentral.